This 337-nucleotide long non-coding RNA is filed under the name Capsella rubella. RNAcentral describes it as "long non-coding RNA (CRUB_LNC004010)". The record is from RNAcentral. Lineage: Eukaryota; Viridiplantae; Streptophyta; Magnoliopsida; Brassicales; Brassicaceae.
UUGUCUCCUUUCAUUUCGUUAGUCUCCGGAAAUGCUUGCGUAUCUACCAAGUAAUUACUUAUAUUUGUUGAUUAUUAAAUUGAAUCAAGCAGGAUAUUUUGAAAACUAUUUACUUUUGAUGUUGUGUUCGACCCUUUCGAUAUAAGGAUUUUGUUUCUUCUUCAGAUAAAUAAAACCAUUCUUAUCUUAACUCAUAUUUACUAGAAUUCGUGAGUACUAAUCUAGUCGCAAAUGCUUUGGUGCAUAUCUCAUACUAGCUAGAGUCCCUUAGACCCAAUAUAAUUAACUUGUACAAUUCAUUUCUUGAUCUUACCGUAAGUUCAAAAGAAAAAAAAAA